UACGGGGGGGGCAAGUGUUCUUCGGAAUGACUGGGCGUCAAGGGCACGUAGGCGGUGAAUCGGGUUGAAAGUGAAAGUCGCCAAAAAGUGGCGGAAUGCUCUCGAAACCAAUUCACUUGAGUGGGACAGAGGAGAGUGGAAUUUCGUGUGUAGGGGUGAAAUCCGUAGAUCUACGAAGGAAGGCCAAAAGCGAAGGCAGCUCUCUGGGUCCCUACCGACGCUGGGGUGCGAAAGCAUGGGGAGCGAACAGG
This 251-nucleotide ribosomal RNA is filed under the name uncultured bacterium. Its description in RNAcentral is "partial 16S ribosomal RNA". It matches the Rfam family "Bacterial small subunit ribosomal RNA", at positions 524 to 776 of the family's 1533-position model. The record is from RNAcentral.